CUACGGGGGGCACCAGUGGGGAAUAUUGCACAAUGGGGGAAACCCUGAUGCAGCAACGCCGCGUGGAGGAUGACACAUUUCGGUGCGUAAACUCCUUUUAUAGGUCAAGAUAAUGACGGUAGCCUAUGAAUAAGCGCCGGCUAACUCCGUGCCAGCAGCCGCGGUAAUACGGAGGGCGCAAGCGUUACUCGGAAUCACUGGGCGUAAAGAGCAUGUAGGCGGAUUGUUAAGUUGGAAGUGAAAUCCUAUGGCUUAACCAUAGAACUGCUUCCAAAACUGAUAAUCUAGAGUAUGGGAGAGGUAGAUGGAAUUUCUGGUGUAGGGGUAAAAUCCGUAGAGAUCAGAAGGAAUACCGAUUGCGAAGGCGAUCUACUGGAACAUUACUGACGCUCAGAUGCGAAAGCGUGGGGAGCAAACAGGAUUAGAUACCCUUGUAGUC
This 439-nucleotide ribosomal RNA is filed under the name uncultured bacterium. RNAcentral's name for it is "partial 16S ribosomal RNA". It matches the Rfam family "Bacterial small subunit ribosomal RNA", at positions 339 to 795 of the family's 1533-position model. The record is from RNAcentral.